AAAUUGAAGAGUUUGAUCAUGGCUCAGAUUGAACGCUGGCGGCAGGCCUAACACAUGCAAGUCGAACGGUAACAGGAAGCAGCUUGCUGCUUCGCUGACGAGUGGCGGACGGGUGAGUAAUGUCUGGGAAACUGCCUGAUGGAGGGGGAUAACUACUGGAAACGGUAGCUAAUACCGCAUAACGUCGAAAGACCAAAGAGGGGGACCUUCGGGCCUCUUGCCAUCGGAUGUGCCCAGAUGGGAUUAGCUUGUUGGUGGGGUAAUGGCUCACCAAGGCGACGAUCCCUAGCUGGUCUGAGAGGAUGACCAGCCACACUGGAACUGAGACACGGUCCAGACUCCUACGGGAGGCAGCAGUGGGGAAUAUUGCACAAUGGGCGCAAGCCUGAUGCAGCCAUGCCGCGUGUAUGAAGAAGGCCUUCGGGUUGUAAAGUACUUUCAGCGGGGAGGAAGGGAGUAAAGUUAAUACCUUUGCUCAUUGACGUUACCC
RNAcentral lists this ribosomal RNA (490 nucleotides) under Escherichia coli. RNAcentral's name for it is "bacterial SSU rRNA". It matches the Rfam family "Bacterial small subunit ribosomal RNA", at positions 1 to 480 of the family's 1533-position model. The record is from RNAcentral. Lineage: Bacteria; Pseudomonadati; Pseudomonadota; Gammaproteobacteria; Enterobacterales; Enterobacteriaceae.